RNAcentral lists this ribosomal RNA (460 nucleotides) under uncultured bacterium. RNAcentral describes it as "partial 16S ribosomal RNA". It matches the Rfam family "Bacterial small subunit ribosomal RNA", at positions 338 to 795 of the family's 1533-position model. The record is from RNAcentral.
CCUACGGGGGACAGCAGUGAGGAAUAUUGGUCAAUGGACGAGAGUCUGAACCAGCCAAGUAGCGUGAAGGAUGACUGCCCUAUGGGUUGUAAACUUCUUUUAUAUGGGAAUAAAAUGUUCCACGUGUGGGAUUUUGUAUGUACCAUAUGAAUAAGGAUCGGCUAACUCCGUGCCAGCAGCCGCGGUAAUACGGAGGAUCCGAGCGUUAUCCGGAUUUAUUGGGUUUAAAGGGAGCGUAGGUGGAUUGUUAAGUCAGUUGUGAAAGUUUGCGGCUCAACCGUAGAAUUGCAGUUGAAACUGGCAGUCUUGAGUACAGUAGAGGUAGGCGGAAUUCGUGGUGUAGCGGUGAAAUGCUUAGAUAUCACGAAGAACUCCGAUUGCGAAGGCAGUUCACUGGACUGCAACUGACACUGAGGCUCGAAAGUGUGGGUAUCAAACAGGAUUAGAUACCCUAGUAGUC